Molecule: long non-coding RNA, 324 nt
Organism: Symphalangus syndactylus (siamang)
Lineage: Eukaryota; Metazoa; Chordata; Mammalia; Primates; Hylobatidae
Source: RefSeq, a predicted model, not a curated record
UGUGGAUGUUCUUGAUUUUGUACUCCAAGUAAAUGUAUUUAAGAAUGGUUACUCCAACCUCUGAGAAAUCUGAAAGUGGCAGCUGGAAGUGGCAGUUUUCACAGCCCACCUUUUUCAGAGACCACACACAGAGACUACACUGAUUGGAAUCAAGUUUAAAGGCAUGGCUUACAUUCAGGUAAUAAAGAUAACAAAAAUAAUACAAGCACACAAGGGAUAAGAGAGAAUGAGAGAGCAGACAAGAUGACUAAAUUCUGAAACAUGGACAGCUGAACGCAGGGAGUAACAGAGCAGAGAGAAGAAACCCAGAACUCAAGGCUGAUA